Molecule: ribosomal RNA, 253 nt
Filed under: uncultured bacterium
Lineage: Bacteria
Description: partial 16S ribosomal RNA
Rfam family: Bacterial small subunit ribosomal RNA
Source: RNAcentral
UACGGGGGGGGCAAGCGUUGUUCGGAAUUAUUGGGCGUAAAGAGCUCGUAGGCGGUUUGUCGCGUCUGCUGUGAAAUCCCGAGGCUCAACCUCGGGCCUGCAGUGGGUACGGGCAGACUGGAGUGCGGUAGGGGAGAAUGGAACUCCUGGUGUAGCGGUGGAAUGCGCAGAUAUCAGGAAGAACACCGAUGGCGAAGGCAGUUCUCUGGGCCGUAACUGACGCUGAGGAGCGAAAGCGUGGGGAGCGAACAGG